Long non-coding RNA from Homo sapiens (human), 1746 nucleotides. Ensembl annotates it as GPRC5D and HEBP1 antisense RNA 1. Its record names the gene GPRC5D-AS1. The record is from Ensembl. NCBI's taxonomy places the organism in Eukaryota, Metazoa, Chordata, Mammalia, Primates, Hominidae.
AAACAUACACACACCCCUGAUUCCAGAAACACAACAGGAGCUGACUCAAAAGGGAGUGUCUGGUGCAGGCAUGCAGGGAGGAAGAAUGACUCUGAGCUUGACCAUUCAACUUCGAAACUUUAACAUCAAUGGAUCAGCACACACUGGUGUACGGUCUGCUAUGCAUGCAGCCCUGUGCUAGGCAAAAGAAGUAUCAGACCAGGAACUGACAGCCUCACUGCAACAGGAAGAGAGGCUUCACACAAUAAGCGUUUCAUUCAACCAGGCUGGACCUGUGCUUAUUGAGUUGAACAUCACUGAGCACAAAAUGCAAGCCAGACACCAUAAGAGCUGUAAGGAUGAUAAAGAUGUCUUUCUACCCUCGAGAGCUCUAAGUGUGGUCAGGAGAGAAACACAUGCAAAGAUUAUGCUGGCUGGAAGGAAAUGCUGGAAUGAAGGUGGAAGCAUUCUAUUCAUCUAAAAGCACCGGUAAUUAACGAUGCUAAUAAAUGUAUAAUCCCUUUGUAAACAUCUCUUCACAAGGUCAUAAAGAAGGAAGACUGAAUGAAGGACGCCAGGCUUUCAUUUUAGAAUUAAUUUUGUCAUUGAAUGCACUCACUGCAUUAUUUGAUAGAGUACUUUUGCAUUUGAAGUAGUACAUUUGCCUUCUACCAUCUCAUUAACAUUGCUUUCAACAGAAUCAGAAAUAACACAAACCACUGCAGGGUAAUUUUGAAUGCUCAUUUGACUAUGCAGUGACAUCAAGUGGCGAGUUGAGGAAUGAUCAUAUGCUGUGUGAGAACUCCGUGUUAAAAAUUCCAUGGAGCCAGGCUAGACACCACAUUUGGCACUUUCAGCUGUUUAGAUUUCAGAGAAUUAAAAGGAAAUGGUCACCGACCUGCCUUUGAUAGUACCCGUAUACCCCUUCCCACCAUAAGAAACCAGCGUUCCUUAGAGAAAUGGCUAAUUCUAGCUCUAGGGCAAGAAAUGCUAAGAUGUGCUCAAAACAUCUCAUUAUACCAGCAAGCCAGGGAGCCAUCAACGACUACUGGAGCUGUGUCAAAAGGACCAACAAACCAACUUGAAGAGGCUCCCGCUGGCCAACAGUGGGGCAAUUAGAGCAUCAAUAAGAAUAAUAUCUGUAACAAACUGAAACGUAUCAAAUAUGUUUAAAUUCAUAUGUUUAUAAUUACACUCAAAAAACGAAGAUGCAGACCACUUUACCUUGAGGAUGUUACAGAAUGAAAUUAUCAUUCUGAAAACUGGUAAAUAAAGAGAAGGUAUCAAGUAAGCAUGUAUCUGGCUUUUUCUAUAUGAAAUAAAGGAAGCCAAAUAGUAAACGAGGGGAAGUUUCUCUUUACUGAAAUAUUGCAGGUAAUAAAAGAAGAAGGAGAAACAGAGAACAUUAUCGUUUUAUGGCCUCUAAUGGAACAAGACAUCUAGGCAAUGAUGAACUAUGGUCACCAACAUCACUCAAUCAGGGACAAUCAGACACUGUGGGCCCCUGAAGGAAGUAAACACCACCACGUAGGAAAUAUUCUCACCAAAACUUCAAAAACUUGAAUCUGAUCUAGUCUUUAGUUUCAACUACUAAUUUACAGGCAAUACGGGGCUCAGAGGGAUGUGGUAAAAUGUCACGGAAAUAUAAUCAGCAAAAUCCAGUACAGAUAAUAAGAAGACAAAUGAUCCACAGAUGGAAAGGAAGAAUGUAAAGUUGUGUUGGUAAAGAAAUUCACAGAUUAAUAAAAGCUUAAAAAUGUACCAUCA